GUCUUUGAACACGAUCGCAGCAGAUCCAGGCCAAGCUAAUGGCUGACAACAGCAUUCAGCAAGCGUUGAUGGGGGACAAUCCUCCCAAUGUGCUGAAAAAUAAGCCAUCUGAAGGAGCUAAAAGGUUUCGACGAUGCAGAUCAACUCCUGCAGACCCCACAGAUCAAAAACCUGAAGAACGUGGCCCUGCGCUUCAAGCCAAGGAGUUAUUCAAGGAUAUACGGCCAAGCUUCAGACUUGUAGGCCUCCUCCUCUUUGUCUACCUGCUAGCGGGUGUCAUCAUCUUUUACCUUUUCAUGGAUCAGAUAUCUGGGGACAGGACUAAUAGAGUGCUUGAUGCCAUGUACUUUGUUGUCGUCACAAUGACCUCAGUUGGCUAUGGGGAUCUUGUCCCAAACAGUGACACAACAAAGCUGCUUGCUUGUGCUUUCGUCUUCAUAGGCAUGGCGAUAAUUGCUCUCUUCAUCAGCAAAGCGGCAGAUUAUCUUGUUGAGAAACAGGAGGUGUUGUUCUUCAAAGCACUGCACAUGAAUAUGAAGGGUGGCAAGGCCAAAAUGCUCAGAGCAAUGGAGACAAAUCGGAUCAAGUACAAAUUCUACACUGUUGCUCUACUCCUUGCGAUGGUUGUUGCUGCUGGCACUCUAUUUUUGUGGAAGGUUGAGAAGCUGAGCAUUGUUGAUUCCUUCUACUCCGUCUGUGCCACAAUCACUACCCUGGGUUAUGUGCACAAAAGUUUCUCAUCCCAAUUGGGGCGUGUUUUUGCGAUAUUUUGGAUAAUCAUGAGCACUAUCCUCAUGGCUCAGUUCUUAAUGUGCCUUGCCGAACUCUAUACCGAGCGACGGCAGAAAAUGCUCGCCAAAUGGGUGCUCAACAGGAGGAUAACAACUAUGGACCUUGAGGCAGCUGAUCUGGAUGGCGACCGGCAAGUUGGUGCUGCCGAAUUUGUACUUUACAAGCUAAAAGAGUUAGGAAAGAUCAGCCAAGAGGAUUUAUCUUCUUUCCUUGAGGAAUUUGACAGGCUCGAUGUUGACCAGUCUGGCACACUCUCAGCUUACGACCUUACUCUGGCACAAACCAAUCAGUGACUGUUGGAUGCAUAUGUAUUUGAUUUUGCUGCUUGAAUGGUUUUGGUUGAUGUUAUUAGCAUUUCUGUUGUCCAUAUGUACGCUGUAACAUUACAAAGGUACAAAGAACCUCAAUUUAACCAAAUUUAUAAGAAACAAAUAGUUGCUGGAAGUUUAUCUGA
This is an RNA transcript of Panicum virgatum (switchgrass), 1246 nucleotides long. It is a transcript of the gene named two pore potassium channel a-like, with no coding region annotated. Lineage: Eukaryota; Viridiplantae; Streptophyta; Magnoliopsida; Poales; Poaceae. The transcript has 2 exons. The record is from RefSeq and is a predicted model, not a curated record.